AACCUGCCCUUUGCACUGGGAUAGCCUCGGGAAACCGAGGUUAAUACCGGAUACUCCAUAUUUGUCGCAUGGCGAAUAUGGGAAAGCUCCGGCGGCAAAGGAUGGGCCCGCGGCCUGUUAGCCAGUUGGUGGGGUAGUGGCCUACCAAGGCAAUGAUGGGUAGCCGGGUUGAGAGACCGACCGGCCAGAUUGGGACUGAGACACGGCCCAGACUCCUACGGGAGGCAGCAGUGGGGAAUCUUGCACAAUGGGCGAAAGCCUGAUGCAGCGACGCCGCGUGCGGGAUGAAGGCCUUCGGGUUGUAAACCGCUUUCAGCAGGGACGAGGCCGCAAGGUGACGGUACCUGCAGAAGAAGCCCCGGGCUAACUACGUGCCAGCAGCCGCGGUAAAU
This 392-nucleotide ribosomal RNA is filed under the name uncultured Atopobium sp. Its description in RNAcentral is "bacterial SSU rRNA". It matches the Rfam family "Bacterial small subunit ribosomal RNA", at positions 123 to 525 of the family's 1533-position model. Lineage: Bacteria; Bacillati; Actinomycetota; Coriobacteriia; Coriobacteriales; Atopobiaceae. The record is from RNAcentral.